UAUUAAUUAGAUAAUAAUUAUUGGAACACAAACGCUCGAAACUGGUAUAUGUGGAGGCGGCAAAAAGCUUCUCAACGACUGUACAAGCUGUAUGGUAUCGACCAAUGCUAGCCUCGGAUUGUUUGCCG
Molecule: long non-coding RNA, 128 nt
Organism: Cyphomyrmex costatus
Lineage: Eukaryota; Metazoa; Arthropoda; Insecta; Hymenoptera; Formicidae
Exons: 3
Source: RefSeq, a predicted model, not a curated record